UAGGUAACCAGUGAUGAGAGUAUGCCAUGAGUCAAGGAUUAUGAAUAAUCUAAUUCUGUGCACCUGAUAUCCAAA
RNAcentral lists this small nucleolar RNA (75 nucleotides) under Choloepus hoffmanni (Hoffmann's two-fingered sloth). RNAcentral's name for it is "Small nucleolar RNA SNORD112 (ENSCHOG00000016128.1)". The record is from RNAcentral. Lineage: Eukaryota; Metazoa; Chordata; Mammalia; Pilosa; Megalonychidae.